CAGUCCCCGCCCACCCGCCCCCUCCGCUUCCUCCGGGGCGGGGCGGGGCGGGGCGGGAAGGCGGGGAGUGCGCAGGCGUGGCGCGCGCCGCGGGUGACCGUUAAGCGGCCGCUGGUCUCCUUACGGUUACCGGUGUCCUUGGUCGUGCUCGGUGCCGGCCUUCGGGUCCUCGCUGCCUCAGGAAUGGAGGCGGGAAGGAGCCCCCGGGUCCGCGGCGGGGCUGCCGGCCGCCUCGGGGGGCUGUCCCGCGCGGUGUGGAGCUGUAGAGGAUGUGCAGGCUUUCCCAAGGGAACUCGGUGGGGUUUGCCUGCCCAGGAACUAGAGGAGGUCCGGAUGAGGAGACCGGAGCUGCUGCAGGAGCAGCGUUCUGUGUUUUUUACCAGUUAGAUGCCACGAGAAGGGCUGCAAGAAGGGGUGUCUGCAUCUGAUGUCUGCUACCUCAAGUCCAUGUGAGAGAUGAGGAUGAGCCUUUAUCCCCAGUCACAGUGGAGGCGAUGGGAAAGCUUUCAGCCCUGCUGAGGAGAUGAUGGUUUUGAGUAGUGUAACUUUCUGAUGGUUAGUAGUUCUACUAAAGCAGGACUUUAGUAGUCCUUUCCUCCCUCAUUAAGUCUCUGAUGCUCCCCAGUAAAUGCCACUGUAUUCUUCAGAUUCUCAUUUGCCCAAUUUGACACUAUGAGAAGAGGUGAGUGGGAAAUGUCUGGCCUCAGGGAGGUGGGGGCCAUAGAAAAUAAACAAUUCCAGAGCUUCCAAGAAAGGACUCUGACAUACUUGCUAA
Long non-coding RNA from Strigops habroptila (Kakapo), 775 nucleotides. RefSeq lists it as uncharacterized. The record is from RefSeq and is a predicted model, not a curated record. Lineage: Eukaryota; Metazoa; Chordata; Aves; Psittaciformes; Psittacidae. The transcript is spliced from 2 exons.